AGAGAGAGAGUAAUAGAGAUGGGUAAUGGAGGGAGAAAGGUGGGAAGCGUGAUCAGAUUUUGUGGGAAGAGCGAGAGAGAGAGGGAGUGAGAGUGAGACAACAUAAGUUAGUUAUAUUAGUUUUGACAGUUGACCGGAUAGGUUAAGUAUCUCCCAAAAUCCAAAACAUACAACACUCUCAUUGUAAGCAACACAGAGCCACACAGAGUGAAACCUUCAAAGCUAUAUAUAUAAGCUUGAAUUAAGUUUUU
RNAcentral lists this long non-coding RNA (251 nucleotides) under Capsella grandiflora. RNAcentral's name for it is "long non-coding RNA (CGRA_LNC000954)". The record is from RNAcentral. Lineage: Eukaryota; Viridiplantae; Streptophyta; Magnoliopsida; Brassicales; Brassicaceae.